GGAUGAGCCCGCGGCCUAUCAGCUUGUUGGUGGGGUGAUGGCCUACCAAGGCGACGACGGGUAGCCGGCCUGAGAGGGCGACCGGCCACACUGGGACUGAGACACGGCCCAGACUCCUACGGGAGGCAGCAGUGGGGAAUAUUGCGCAAUGGGCGGAAGCCUGACGCAGCGACGCCGCGUGGGGGAUGACGGCCUUCGGGUUGUAAACCUCUUUCGACCUUGACGAAGCUUUCGGGUGACGGUAGGGGUAGAAGAAGCACCGGCCAACUACGUGCCAGCAGCCGCGGCCGA
This 291-nucleotide ribosomal RNA is filed under the name uncultured bacterium. RNAcentral's name for it is "partial 16S ribosomal RNA". It matches the Rfam family "Bacterial small subunit ribosomal RNA", at positions 223 to 524 of the family's 1533-position model. The record is from RNAcentral.